GCUUUUGUAACCUUUUAGUCAUCUGGCUUCAAGUUCCACCGGGGAUUUUGCUGGCUGUGAGGACGGCAGCGGAGCCCUGAAGCUACAAGGUGCCUUAGUCAUGUUUGCAUUGUGGACUGCAGUGAACAAAGUAUUUUUAAAUGGGCAUUUGGAGAAACUUGCAAGGUUUCUCAUUGCAUGUUCAGAGAACCACAUUCCGUUGUUGGUGUCAGAAGCUGAAACUGUAUGGCAGUAACUGGCCAUUCUUUCCUUCAGUUGGCCCCUCGUGGCCUUUGAGCUUGAGCACGGGCAUUAAGACUUAGAAGACUGGAGCCUGACUGACUGUGGAGCCCUGCAUCCGACCUUUCCUUUAACAGGACCUUAAUCACAGCUUUGGAAGCUUAUCGAAAAGCCAAACCUCAUGAGGGUCUGGAGUCCCUUCCUUCCCCUUAUCUCAACCCUUAUGGAAUCCUCUCCACUGAGCUACUGAUAGUUAUCCAACAAAUAUUUACAUCAAGAUUCACUCUGCCUCGUAAGAGCUCACAGUGUGGCCAGGAGAGAUGGCUCAGUGGUUAAGAGGUCCUGAGUUCAAUUCCCAGCAACCGCAUGGUGGCUCACGGCCAUCUGUAAUGGGAUCCGAUGCCCUCUUCUGGCGUGCCAUCGAGAGUUCACAGUGUAGCUAUAAAGACAAGACGUUGAAGGGUAAUUGUUCCUGAUGACUCAGCUGUAUCACCUGUGAGGAUAUUACCUCCAAAGAACAGAAGGAUGGACAUGCGUAUUUGUAAACUGAUGUUCAGAACAAAAUUGUUCAUAGUAGCAAAAGGUGGAAAUGACCCUAAUGCUUGAAGAAAGAUGAUUAGGCAAAUCAUAUUAUGCACAUGCAAUAGAAUAUUAUUCAGCCUCCAGAAGAAGCGACAUUCUGACUCUUGCUACAAUACAGAAGCUUCGUUGUAUAGACUAUCCUCUGGCAUCAUCAGAAUUUGCUCUGUUCCCAAAAGAUCACCCCAGCUAGGCUUGAUGCCUGGGGAGAAUCAUGGGAUUCUCACAUGAGUAUCCAUUCAUCUCUUGCAAUCAGUCAUAUGUAAGUCUGCCCUAAUUGCACAUGGCCUUGAGGUCUCAGGAAGUGGGUAGAGUAUAUAGGUGAGGAAGGAGUAGGGGAAGGUACUUCAGCCUUGGGGAUGUUUCAUCCAUGCUGGGUGGGUCACCCACACUCCUGUCCACAACCCCUCACCCAUGCUCUGUAAAUAACCCUAAUAAACUCAUUGCUUCCUCAAGGU
Non-coding RNA from Rattus norvegicus (Norway rat), 1256 nucleotides. Lineage: Eukaryota; Metazoa; Chordata; Mammalia; Rodentia; Muridae. The record is from RefSeq and is a predicted model, not a curated record.